CGCGGGGCAGGGCAGUGGCGGCGACCGGCCGGGGGCGGGGGGGGAGGGAUAAGAGCAAGUUUCAGAGAAGAAACGCCUGUAGACAGGGAAAAUCACUGACUUGGGUCCCACACAAUGCCAUAUGUGUUGGGGUGUGAGCAGCCAAAGCAACAGGCUCCAACCCCACCGACCGGCGCUGGGGGCACCUGGUGCUGCCCGUGGGGUGGGAAUUGCCAUGAGAGGAAAUACCUCAGAGGGGCUUCCCUCCAAAUAAACCCUGAAUAUGCCAAGAGGUUUCAGACAGGAGAAUGGAGCUGUGGAAGAAAACCAGCCUAAAAAUAGCCAGUGAGGAUCAUCAGGUUUUCCAGCCAAGAAAAACAAGGACGGAGAUGAGGGAAUCGGAUUCCAAUUAAUAAUGAGUUGGAAGUGGACUGUGACAAGGGAAUCGGCUCCCACGAGGCCAAGGAUCAGAGUGGGCUCUGCACAGGGGACGACUUCCACUUCCAAACAGGGAAGGGCACCUUUGUCCCCACCUCCGGCAAACUGGGACGGAGUAACAUCUGCCUGCAACUGGCUGGAGUUCCCAUUGGCUCUGGGCUUUCUGUUCACGGCCGGGAAUCAUAGCCAGAGUCAUUCAAACCUGGGGAAUAGGGGCCUUUACACCAUCCCUGCAGCCUGUCCAGGGCAGGCUGCUGCGCAUCGGCCCCUGAUCACAGUGUGGUAUUCAGAUCCUUCAGAGCACAUUCAAGUUUUCACUGCAUUCAGCACUCUGUAACUGUGUCCUGGGUCCGGUGCUCAUUCCCGAGGCCCCUUUGCAGAGGUUGUCCCUGCAGACUGAGGUGCACAGAGGCCGAGGUGUGGGUGCUGUGGAUUCGGUUUGAGUGUAACACAGCAAGUCUGAGAUCUUGGCUGGGAUUUAAACCACUGCUGCCACCUGCUGAUGAACACGGAGUACUGCAGUCGUCCCCGAAAAAGAGGUGCCUGGCUCCGCCCCCUCUAGCUCGUCUCCCUCCCCCUCGCCUGUGGCUCCACGUGCCCUCCCCUCCCACGCGGGGCAGCCCCACGUGUGGCCAGUGAGGAUGAUGAGGGGGAGGCCCCGCUGGGUGA
Chiroxiphia lanceolata (lance-tailed manakin) is the source of this 1086-nucleotide long non-coding RNA. RefSeq lists it as uncharacterized. The record is from RefSeq and is a predicted model, not a curated record. Lineage: Eukaryota; Metazoa; Chordata; Aves; Passeriformes; Pipridae. The transcript has 6 exons.